GACGAACGCUGGCGGCGUGCCUAAUACAUGCAAGUCGAGCGGACCGGAUUGGGGCUUGCCUUGAUUCGGUCAGCGGCGGACGGGUGAGUAACACGUGGGCAACCUGCCCGCAAGACCGGGAUAACUCCGGGAAACCGGAGCUAAUACCGGAUAACACCGAAGACCGCAUGGUCUUCGGUUGAAAGGCGGCCUUUGGGCUGUCACUUGCGGAUGGGCCCGCGGCGCAUUAGCUAGUUGGUGAGGUAACGGCUCACCAAGGCGACGAUGCGUAGCCGGCCUGGGAGGGUGACCGGCCACACUGGGACUGAGACACGGCCCAGACUCCUACGGGAGGCAGCAGUAGGGAAUCUUCCGCAAUGGGCGAAAGCCUGACGGAGCGACGCCGCGUGAGCGAAGAAGGCCUUCGGGUCGUAAAGCUCUGUUGUGAGGGACGAAGGAGCGUCGUUCGAAGAGGGUGGCGCGGUGACGGUACCUCACGAGAAAGCCCCGGCUAACUACGUG
This 501-nucleotide ribosomal RNA is filed under the name uncultured bacterium. RNAcentral's name for it is "partial 16S ribosomal RNA". It matches the Rfam family "Bacterial small subunit ribosomal RNA", at positions 28 to 507 of the family's 1533-position model. The record is from RNAcentral.